Molecule: non-coding RNA, 1166 nt
Organism: Pocillopora verrucosa
Lineage: Eukaryota; Metazoa; Cnidaria; Anthozoa; Scleractinia; Pocilloporidae
Source: RefSeq, a predicted model, not a curated record
UCAGGUCUCGAUAGGUAAAUAGGCCCUACUUUGACCGCUUGUAUGCGUUAAUUUGAUUCUAAUUAAAUCCGCAUGUAAGCGGUUAAUUAUGAGCGAAUCGGGUAAAUAAAGAUGGCGGAUAAGGCUAAACGAAGAUUUACCUGAAAUAACGAGCUUAAUGGGAAAAGAUUACAGAAGAAUCUCGGGCUUAGCGAAGCCUCUUGUGGAAUGAAAAACAGAGGCCCUUCUUUAUGGAAGCUGUGUGUCUCAGAACGACAACAUAACCAAGCAUGCCUGUGAUAAGGAGUUUCAAGCACUUAAAGCCUGCAUAAGACAAGCAGCAAAGAAAAUUAAAGUGUAGAGACUUGAAAAGAGAGAACAACUGCACCUAUUGCAGGAAAGUUCUGAAACAGGACGUCACAGGCAACCUACUCACUUUUUGCGUGGGGUAACAAUAUUAUAAGAGGAGACAUUUAGGCUUGUGAAAACUGAUAAAAAGAAUGUCUCUGUCGGUAAAUAUAUAAAUACGGUAAACUGCUGCUUAUAAGUGCCCUCUCCUCCCCCCUCCCCUUUUUAUUUAUAAGUCCUCGGUUAAAGGCUCAUCUAACUUUAAACAAAACAAAAAAAAAGCAUCAAAUUAUAAGCUCCCCCCGAUAUAAGCCCUGUUCUAGCUUUUCUUGUUUCUACAAUACCAAAGUAGGAAAAGCCUCAGUGCUGUGACUUGGACAUAGAAAUUUUAAUGAUAGAAGAGCAAAGAUGAACUUUUGAGAGAAAAGUCUGUUUUCUCAGUUUUGCUACGUACCAGUUUUCUUCAUGUUGCUAGUUUUUAUUCUGUGCCAAAUGUAUUGAAACUAAUUUGAUUUAUUAUGACGUUUUGAAUCUUAAUGAAAAACGAGUAAAUAAAAAACGUAUUUUGAUCAGCACUGCACUAGCCUUUUCUAUUCCGGUUACACGUCCCCACGGCUAUAGGUCCCCUCUGUUAAUAAGCCCUCCUAAAACCCCUUACGAAGUUGUAUAACCCCUGAGCUUAUAAUCGGCAGGUUUGUUUGUGUUGUGGAACUUUAAGGAUUUGCCUCAGAAGGAAUGGUGCUAUUCUUAACUCAAAAUUUUGAUUCCGUUUUGAUUGACGUAUAAAAUCGAAUAGAGACGUCGGCGAGUUGGUCUUCAAUCCAGUACAACUUAUUAGA